UUAUAAGAGACAGCAGCAGCCACGGUAAUACAGAGGGUGCGAGCGUUAAUCGGAUUUACUGGGCGUAAAGCGUGCGUAGGCGGCUUCUUAAGUCGGAUGUGAAAUCCCUGAGCUUAACUUAGGAAUUGCAUUCGAUACUGGGAAGCUAGAGUAUGGGAGAGGAUGGUAGAAUUCCAGGUGUAGCGGUGAAAUGCGUAGAGAUCUGGAGGAAUACCGAUGGCGAAGGCAGCCAUCUGGCCUAAUACUGACGCUGAGGUACGAAAGCAUGGGGAGCAAACAGGAUUAGAUACCCCAGUAGUCCCUGUCUCUUAUAA
RNAcentral lists this ribosomal RNA (314 nucleotides) under uncultured bacterium. RNAcentral's name for it is "partial 16S ribosomal RNA". It matches the Rfam family "Bacterial small subunit ribosomal RNA", at positions 499 to 809 of the family's 1533-position model. The record is from RNAcentral.